CAGUAGCCGCGGGAAUACAGAGGGUGCGAGCGUUAAUCGGAUUUACUGGGCGUAAAGCGUGCGUAGGCGGCUAAUUGAGUCGGAUGUGAAAUCCCCGAGCUUAACUUGGGAAUUGCAUUCGAUACUGGUUAGCUAGAGUGUGGGAGAGGAUGGUAGAAUUCCAGGUGUAGCGGUGAAAUGCGUAGAGAUCUGGAGGAAUACCGAUGGCGAAGGCAGCCAUCUGGCCUAACACUGACGCUGAGGUACGAAAGCAUGGGGAGCAAACAGGAUUAGAUACCCCUGUAGUCCCUGUCUCUUAUAU
Molecule: ribosomal RNA, 301 nt
Filed under: uncultured bacterium
Lineage: Bacteria
Description: partial 16S ribosomal RNA
Rfam family: Bacterial small subunit ribosomal RNA
Source: RNAcentral